GUAAUAUUUGUUACAGAGGAAAUGACCUGUAGCAGAAUGGAUUAUUGGACAUCAUUGUUAAUGGAUUUAUGGAGAACAUACAUUAAUCGAGGUACAAUACAUUGAAUAAAAUAAUUCUAUUCUAACCAGGUGGAAUGACUGGUAGCAGUAUGGAUUAAUGGACUUAUAGUUAAUGGAUAUAUGGAGAACAUAAAUUAAUCAAGGUAACACUACAUUGAAUAAAAUAAUUCUAAACCAGGUGGAAUGUCUGGUAGCAGUAUGGAUUAAUGGACUUAUGGUUAAUGGAUUUAUGGAGAACAUAAAUUAACCAAGAAUGUGUGGAUUUCUACAAAAAUCUUAAGGAUCAACACAAACUUCUAAUUCAGCCUGUCAAAUCUGAAUAAGAAAACUUCAUCUAAAGACUGUGUGGAUAGAACUCAAGCUAAAGGAACCUGGUAAAUCUUCUAAAACUAGAAUCUCUUGAAACCUUCAAGGAUAUCAGAAGUUCAACUGAACAUCAAAGGAGUCUGAGGAUUACUGAAUACAAAGAGAACUGAGCGGGUUUAAGCUAAUAAACCUCCCAGCUCAGAGAAUACCUGGAUAAAAGAGCGGGUUUUCAAGCUAAGAAAACCUCCUAGCUGAUGGAAGGAGAGAGCGGGUCUUAAACCUUAAUAAGACGUCCUAGCUCAACUCUUCACCCAGCUAAAUAUUAAAAGAAGUUGAGUGGUUUACUACACCUGGAGACAUUACUGCACAAGCUCUGGGGAAAAAGCAGAGCAACUACAGGUUACCUGAGAACAUUAGAAUUUCAAGAUCAGCUGUUUAAAGUUGAAAUAAAACCUGCUCUAAUCUUGUUUCUAUACAGGGUAACGUAACCAGACAAGAUUACCUCUUACAUAAAAAUAUCUGUAUUUAAGAAAAUAAAACUUUCCUAUUUA
Long non-coding RNA from Eurytemora carolleeae, 917 nucleotides. RefSeq lists it as uncharacterized. The transcript is spliced from 5 exons. Lineage: Eukaryota; Metazoa; Arthropoda; Copepoda; Calanoida; Temoridae. The record is from RefSeq and is a predicted model, not a curated record.